This 694-nucleotide long non-coding RNA is filed under the name Citrus sinensis (sweet orange). RNAcentral's name for it is "long non-coding RNA (CSIN_LNC001201)". Lineage: Eukaryota; Viridiplantae; Streptophyta; Magnoliopsida; Sapindales; Rutaceae. The record is from RNAcentral.
AAUAUGUUUACUGCUAAAUUCUUCUCAUGGGUGUUUUCCUCUGCAUGCCAUGAGAAAGGCACUCUUUUUUACAUGUUCCAAAUGCAUGCUUAAUUUAAGAACACCUGCAAACAACCCUGUCCUUGGCUCCUUGCUACUAAUGGAGAGGGCAACACCUCACACACAAACAGUAAGAUAGACUUCGGAGACACUACAUGUUGAGCAGGCAGAACUUGUCCAAACAGACUCAUGUGAUGGGAACAUUAUGAAAAAAAUGUUGAGCCAUAAGGUGACUACCUGGUAGAGCCUGACUUUCUCUUAACAGAACCCCACUGAUCAGUCCUACAAUAUAAAACAAUCAUGAACAUCAACUCAUGGCCCAUAAAGAACAUGGUCAACAUGAAAAUUUAUUCAUUUUCUGCAACAGAUAUAUAGCCUAUUUUACCAAGUAUACAAAGCAUUUCAAGGGGGUACAUUCCCAAAGCGCAUGAACAUGCUUGCUUUUAUAGCCAAGCAACUCAUUUUUUUCCUCAGCUACGUGCAGCCCAUUCACAAAACUAAAUUAACAAUUCAUAACCCCAAUGUCAUCCAUACAUAAUUGGCCACCAGCAGAUAACACAAAAAACAAAACAAAAUAAAAAUAAUAACCAAGCAAGGUUAAUUGAAUCACCGAUAUGGUUACAUUUAACCAUUACAAAAAGAAAGAAAUAUGUAC